This 560-nucleotide ribosomal RNA is filed under the name uncultured bacterium. RNAcentral describes it as "partial 16S ribosomal RNA". It matches the Rfam family "Bacterial small subunit ribosomal RNA", at positions 355 to 1376 of the family's 1533-position model. The record is from RNAcentral.
UGGGGAAUAUUGGACAAUGGGCGCAAGCCUGAUCCAGCCAUGCCGCGUGAGUGAUGAAGGCCUUAGGGUUGUAAAGCUCUUUCACCCACGACGAUAAUGACGGUAGUGGGAGAAGAAGCCCCGGCUAACUUCGUGCCAGCAGCCGCGGUAAUACGAAGGGGGCUAGCGUUGCUCGGAAUCACUGGGCGUAAAGGGCGCGUAGGCGGACGUUUAAGUCAGGGGUGAAAGCCCGAGGCUCAACCUCGGAAUUGCCCUUGAUACUGGAUGUCUCGAGACCGGAAGAGGUGAGUGGAACUGCGAGUGUAGAGGUGAAAUUCGUAGAUAUUCGCAAGAACACCAGUGGCGAAGGCGGCUCACUGGUCCGGAUCUGACGCUGAGGCGCGAAAGCGUGGGGAGCAAACAGGAUUAGAUACCCUGGUAGUCCACGCCGUAAACGAUGGAUGCUAGCCGUUGGCCAGCUUGCUGGUCCGUGGCGCAGCUAACGCUUUAAGCAUCCCGCCUGGGGAGUCGGCCGCAAGGUUAAAACUCAAAGGAAUUGACGGGGUCAUAGCUGUUUCCUG